This 1390-nucleotide ribosomal RNA is filed under the name metagenome. RNAcentral's name for it is "bacterial SSU rRNA". It matches the Rfam family "Bacterial small subunit ribosomal RNA". The record is from RNAcentral.
AGAGUUUGAUCCUGGCUCAGGAUGAACGCUGGCGGCGUGCUUAACACAUGCGAGUCGAACGCACCUUCGGGUGAGUGGCGGACGGGUGAGUAACGCGUGAGGAUCUGCCCUCAGGAGGGGGAUAACGGCUGGAAACGGCCGCUAAUACCCCAUAUGCCGCGAGGUGAAACGAGUUUUCGCCUGAGGAUGAGCUCGCGUCUGAUUAGCUAGUUGGUGGGGUAAGAGCCUACCAAGGCAUCGAUCAGUAGCUGGUCUGAGAGGAUGAUCAGCCACACUGGGACUGAGACACGGCCCAGACUCCUACGGGAGGCAGCAGUGGGGAAUUUUCCGCAAUGGGCGAAAGCCUGACGGAGCAACGCCGCGUGAGGGAUGAAGGCCUCUGGGCUGUAAACCUCUUUUCUCAAGGAAGAUGAUCUGACGGUACUUGAGGAAUAAGCCACGGCUAAUUCCGUGCCAGCAGCCGCGGUAAUACGGGAGUGGCAAGCGUUAUCCGGAAUUAUUGGGCGUAAAGCGUCCGCAGGCGGUCUUGAAAGUCUGUUGUUAAAGCGUGGAGCUUAACUCCAUUUCAGCAAUGGAAACUAGAAGACUAGAGUGUGGUAGGGGCAGAGGGAAUUCCCGGUGUAGCGGUGAAAUGCGUAGAUAUCGGGAAGAACACCAGUGGCGAAGGCGCUCUGCUGGGCCAUAACUGACGCUCAUGGACGAAAGCCAGGGGAGCGAAAGGGAUUAGAUACCCCUGUAGUCCUGGCCGUAAACGAUGAACACUAGGUGUCGGGGGAAUCGACCCCCUCGGUGUCGUAGUCAACGCGUUAAGUGUUCCGCCUGGGGAGUACGCACGCAAGUGUGAAACUCAAAGGAAUUGACGGGGGCCCGCACAAGCGGUGGAGUAUGUGGUUUAAUUCGAUGCAACGCGAAGAACCUUACCAGGGUUUGACAUCCUGCGAAUCCCUUGGAAACGAGGGAGUGCCUUCGGGAGCGCAGAGACAGGUGGUGCACGGCUGUCGUCAGCUCGUGUCGUGAGAUGUUGGGUUAAGUCCCGCAACGAGCGCAACCCACGUCUUUAGUUGCCAGCAUUCAGUUGGGCACUCUAGAGAGACCGCCGGUGAUAAACCGGAGGAAGGUGUGGAUGACGUCAAGUCAUCAUGCCCCUUACAUCCAGGGCUACACACGUACUACAAUGCUACGGACAAAGGGCGGCAAACUCGCGAGAGCUAGCAAAUCCCAUAAACCGUGGCUCAGUUCAGAUCGUAGGCUGCAACUCGCCUACGUGAAGGAGGAAUCGCUAGUAAUCGCAGGUCAGCAUACUGCGGUGAAUACGUUCCCGGGCCUUGUACACACCGCCCGUCACACCAUGGAAGUUGGCCACGCCCGAAGUCGAUACUCCAACCCUUAU